RNAcentral lists this ribosomal RNA (440 nucleotides) under uncultured bacterium. RNAcentral describes it as "bacterial SSU rRNA". It matches the Rfam family "Bacterial small subunit ribosomal RNA", at positions 338 to 771 of the family's 1533-position model. The record is from RNAcentral.
CCUACGGGAGGCAGCAGUGGGGAAUCUUGCGCAAUGGGCGAAAGCCUGACGCAGCGACGCCGCGUGAGUGAUGAAGGCCUUCGGGUUGUAAAGCUCUGUGGAGUGGGACGAAUAAGUCGGAGCGAAUAGCUCCGAUGAUGACGGUACCACUUUAGCAAGCACCGGCUAACUCUGUGCCAGCAGCCGCGGUAAGACAGAGGGUGCAAACGUUGUUCGGAAUUACUGGGCGUAAAGCGCGUGUAGGUGGCUGUGCAAGUCGGGUGUGAAAGCCCUGGGCUCAACCUAGGAAGUGCACUCGAAACUGCAUAGCUAGAGGUCUGGAGAGGGAAGCGGAAUUCUCGGUGUAGAGGUGAAAUUCGUAGAUAUCGAGAGGAACACCGGUGGCGAAGGCGGCUUCCUGGACAGCACCUGACACUGAGACGCGAAAGCGUGGGGAGCAA